RNAcentral lists this non-coding RNA (82 nucleotides) under Symbiodinium sp. CCMP2430. Lineage: Eukaryota; Dinophyceae; Suessiales; Symbiodiniaceae. The record is from RNAcentral.
GCAAGUGGCCAGCUCCGCCAAACAGCUCCACACGAGGCUUCACUGCAAGCUUCAGGAUCUGGCCUCUUGGUCUCCCAAUGAC